RNAcentral lists this ribosomal RNA (725 nucleotides) under uncultured Bacilli bacterium. RNAcentral describes it as "bacterial SSU rRNA". It matches the Rfam family "Bacterial small subunit ribosomal RNA", at positions 28 to 732 of the family's 1533-position model. Lineage: Bacteria; Bacillati; Bacillota; Bacilli. The record is from RNAcentral.
GACGAACGCUGGCGGCGUGCCUAAUACAUGCAAGUCGAGCGAAGUUUUUCUGGUGCUUGCACUAGAAAAACUUAGCGGCGAACGGGUGAGUAACACGUAAAGAACCUGCCUCAUAGACGGGGACAACUAUUGGAAACGAUAGCUAAUACCGGAUAACAGCAUAAAUCGCAUGAUAUAUGUUUAAAAGUUGGUUUCGGCUAACACUAUGAGAUGGCUUUGCGGUGCAUUAGCUAGUUGGUGGGGUAAAGGCCUACCAAGGCGACGAUGCAUAGCCGACCUGAGAGGGUGAUCGGCCACACUGGGACUGAGACACGGCCCAGACUCCUACGGGAGGCAGCAGUAGGGAAUCUUCCGCAAUGGGCGAAAGCCUGACGGAGCAACGCCGCGUGAGUGAAGAAGGAUUUCGGUUCGUAAAGCUCUGUUGUUAGGGAAGAAUGAUUGUAUAGUAACUAUAUACAGUAGAGACGGUACCUAACCAGAAAGCCACGGCUAACUACGUGCCAGCAGCCGCGGUAAUACGUAGGUGGCAAGCGUUGUCCGGAAUUAUUGGGCGUAAAGCGCGCGCAGGUGGUUUAAUAAGUCUGAUGUGAAAGCCCACGGCUCAACCGUGGAGGGUCAUUGGAAACUGUUAAACUUGAGUGCAGGAGAGAAAAGUGGAAUUCCUAGUGUAGCGGUGAAAUGCGUAGAGAUUAGGAGGAACACCAGUGGCGAAGGCGGCUUUUUGG